This is a non-coding RNA of Heterocephalus glaber (naked mole-rat), 37 nucleotides long. Lineage: Eukaryota; Metazoa; Chordata; Mammalia; Rodentia; Bathyergidae. The record is from Rfam.
CAAGGCACUUAGGGUUUCAGAAUCUGGUAGCCAGUCA